Molecule: ribosomal RNA, 1330 nt
Filed under: uncultured bacterium
Lineage: Bacteria
Description: bacterial SSU rRNA
Rfam family: Bacterial small subunit ribosomal RNA
Source: RNAcentral
GACGAACGCUGGCGGCGUGCUUAACACAUGCAAGUCGAACGGACCCUUUGGGGUUAGUGGCGAACGGGUGAGUAACACGUGGGUGAUCUGCCCUGCACUUUGGGAUAAGCCUGGGAAACUGGGUCUAAUACCGGAUAGGACUACGCACUGCAUGGUGUGUGGUGGAAAGCUUUUGCGGUGUGGGAUGGGCCCGCGGCCUAUCAGCUUGUUGGUGGGGUGAUGGCCUACCAAGGCGACGACGGGUAGCCGGCCUGAGAGGGUGACCGGCCACACUGGGACUGAGAUACGGCCCAGACUCCUACGGGAGGCAGCAGUGGGGAAUAUUACACAAUGGGCGCAAGCCUGAUGCAGCGACGCCGCGUGAGGGAUGACGGCCUUCGGGUUGUAAACCUCUUUCGCCAGGGACGAAGCGCAAGUGACGGUACCUGGAGAAGAAGGACCGGCCAACUACGUGCCAGCAGCCGCGGUAAUACGUAGGGUCCGAGCGUUGUCCGGAAUUACUGGGCGUAAAGAGCUCGUAGGUGGUUUGUCGCGUUGUUCGUGAAAACUCACAGCUUAACUGUGGGCGUGCGGGCGAUACGGGCAGACUGGAGUACUGCAGGGGAGACUGGAAUUCCUGGUGUAGCGGUGGAAUGCGCAGAUAUCAGGAGGAACACCGGUGGCGAAGGCGGGUCUCUGGGCAGUAACUGACGCUGAGGAGCGAAAGCGUGGGGAGCGAACAGGAUUAGAUACCCUGGUAGUCCACGCCGUAAACGGUGGGUACUAGGUGUGGGUUUCCUUCCUUGGGAUCCGUGCCGUAGCUAACGCAUUAAGUACCCCGCCUGGGGAGUACGGCCGCAAGGCUAAAACUCAAAGGAAUUGACGGGGGCCCGCACAAGCGGCGGAGCAUGUGGAUUAAUUCGAUGCAACGCGAAGAACCUUACCUGGGUUUGACAUGCACAGGACGCCGGCAGAGAUGUCGGUUCCCUUGUGGCCUGUGUGCAGGUGGUGCAUGGCUGUCGUCAGCUCGUGUCGUGAGAUGUUGGGUUAAGUCCCGCAACGAGCGCAACCCUUGUCUCAUGUUGCCAGCACGUUAUGGUGGGGACUCGUGAGAGACUGCCGGGGUCAACUCGGAGGAAGGUGGGGAUGACGUCAAGUCAUCAUGCCCCUUAUGUCCAGGGCUUCACACAUGCUACAAUGGCCGGUACAAAGGGCUGCGAUGCCGUGAGGUGGAGCGAAUCCUUUCAAAGCCGGUCUCAGUUCGGAUCGGGGUCUGCAACUCGACCCCGUGAAGUCGGAGUCGCUAGUAAUCGCAGAUCAGCAGCGCUGCGGUGAAUACGUUCCCGGGCCU